AGUGAACGCUGGCGGUAGGCCUAACACAUGCCAGUCGAACGGCAGCACAGUAAGAGCUUGCUCUUACGGGUGGCGAGUGGCGGACGGGUGAGGAAUACAUCGGAAUCUACUUUUUCGUGGGGGAUAACGUAGGGAGACUUACGCUAAUACCGCAUACGACCUACGGGUGAAAGCAGGGGAUCUUCGGACCUUGCGCGAUUGAAUGAGCCGAUGUCGGAUUAGCUAGUUGGCGGGGUAAAGGCCCACCAAGGCGACGAUCCGUAGCUGGUCUGAGAGGAUGAUCAGCCACACUGGAACUGAGACACGGUCCAGACUCCUACGGGAGGCAGCAGUGGGGAAUAUUGGACAAUGGGCGCAAGCCUGAUCCAGCCAUACCGCGUGGGUGAAGAAGGCCUUCGGGUUGUAAAGCCCUUUUGUUGGGAAAGAAAAGCAGCAGGUUAAUACCCCGCUGUUCUGACGGUACCCAAAGAAUAAGCACCGGCUAACUUCGU
RNAcentral lists this ribosomal RNA (491 nucleotides) under uncultured bacterium. Its description in RNAcentral is "partial 16S ribosomal RNA". It matches the Rfam family "Bacterial small subunit ribosomal RNA", at positions 29 to 506 of the family's 1533-position model. The record is from RNAcentral.